RNAcentral lists this small RNA (1770 nucleotides) under Pongo abelii (Sumatran orangutan). Its description in RNAcentral is "retained intron". The record is from RNAcentral. Lineage: Eukaryota; Metazoa; Chordata; Mammalia; Primates; Hominidae.
GGAAAACAGCAGAGCUGACAGUCAGAACAGCCGUGCUUCAAGCGUUCCUGGAGCCCAAGCUCUCCUCCACAGGUGAAGACAGGGCCAGCAGCAGACACCAUGGGGCACCUCUCAGCCCCACUUCACAGAGUGCGUGUCCCCUGGCAGGGGCUUCUGCUCACAGCCUCACUUCUAACCUUCUGGAACCCACCCACCACUGCCCAGCUCACUACUGAAUCCACGCCAUUCAAUGUCGCAGAGGGGAAGGAGGUUCUUCUACUCGUCCACAAUCUGCCCCAGAAUCCUCUUGGCUACAACUGGUACAAAGGGGAAAUGGUGGACGCCAACCAUCGAAUUAUAGGAUAUGUAAUAUCAGAUCAACUAACUACCCCAGGGCCUGCAUACAGCAGUCGAGAGAAAAUAUACCCCAAUGCAUCCCUGCUGAUCCAGAACGUCACCCAGAAUGACACAGGAUUCUACACCCUACAAGUCAUAAAGUCAGAUCUUGUGAAUGAAGAAGCAACUGGACAGUUCCAUGUAUACCCGGAGACUCCCAAGCCCUUCAUCUCCAGCAACAACUCCAACCCCGUGGAGGACAACGAUGCUGUGGCCUUAACCUGUGAACCUGGGACUCAGGACACAACCUACCUGUGGUGGAUAAACAAUCAGAGCCUCCUGAUCAGUCCCAGGCUGCAGCUGUCCAAUGGCAACAGGACCCUCACUCUACUCAGUGUCACAAGGAAUGACGCAGGACCCUAUGAGUGUGAAAUACAGAACCCAGUGAGUGCGAACCGCAGUGACCCAGUCACCUUGAAUGUCACCUAUGGCCCGGACACCCCCACCAUUUCCCCUUCAGACACCUAUUACCGUCCAGGGGCAAACCUCAGCCUCUCCUGCUAUGCAGCCUCUAACCCACCUGCACAGUACUCCUGGCUUAUCAAUGGAACAUUCCAGCAAAGCACACAAGAGCUCUUUAUCCCCAACAUCACUGUGAAUAAUAGUGGAUCCUAUACCUGCCACGCCAAUAACUCAGUCACUGGCCGCAACAGGACCACAGUCAAAACGAUCAUAGUCACUGAGCUAAGUCCAGUAGUAAAGCCCCAAAUCAAAGCCAGCAAGACCACAGUCACCGAAGAUAAGGACUCUGUGAACCUGACCUGCUCCACAAAUGACACUGGAAUCUCCAUCAGUUGGUUCUUCGAAAACCAGAGUCUCCCGUCCUCGGAGAGGAUGAAGCUGUCCCAGGGCAACACCACCCUCAGCAUAAACCCUGUCAAGAGGGAGGAUGCGGGGAAGUAUUGGUGUGAGGUCUUCAACUCAAUCAGUAAGAACCAAAGCGACCCCAUCAUGCUGACCGUAAAGUGUAAGUGACUCCUCACCCCUUCCUAUGUCCCUGGAGGAUCACUCUGUCAAUGGUGUGCAAAAUGGAUAAAACUCACAGGAGGCAGAAUAUCAAUGAAGAGACCAUUAUAGCAAACAGAAUUGUAAAGUGGUUAAGAGCUCAGCUCAGGCCGGGCGCAGUGGCUCACACCUGUAAUUCCAGCAAUUUGGGAGGCCGAGGCGGGCGGAUCACGAGGUCAGGAGAUCGAGCCCAUCCUGGCUAAUAUGGUGAAACCCCAUCUCUACUAAAAAUACAAAAAAAAAUUAGCUGGGCGUGGUGGCAGGUGCCUGUAGUCCCAGCUACUCCGGAGGCUGAGGCGGGAGAAUGGCGUGAACCCGGGAGGCGGAGCUUUCAGUGAGCCAAGACCGCACCACUGCACUCCAGUCUGGGCAAGAGCAAGACUCUGUCUC